UGGUUCUCAGUUGUACGGCCUUUUUCCAGAUCAUAAUCAUUGAGUACCUUGGUGCAUUUGCAAACACAACACCCCUCACUUGCGCGCAAUGGUUCCUCAGCAUAUUUAUCGGAUUCUUAGGCAUGCCAAUUGCAGCGGGCUUAAAGAUGAUCCCUGUGGACACGUAACUCAGAAAAUGCUGAUUUUGGAAUUAAAAGCACAAUCCUCUGCCUGGUAAAAUAGCUCUAACUUCCCUAUUCUGAAGCGAAAGAUGUUAUUGAACAUGAAGGAUGAUGUGCCAUUACCUUGUUUGAGUAGAAGAUCUAAAGGUUAAAUGAAAAUUUGGAAUCUUACUAUCACCAAUUACUACCACCAUUGUUGGUUUGCUUUGUAACAUUCCAAAUUUCAGUUUAAUUUUCUUUAGUCCUCUUUUCAAAACUUGGAAUUUUGCUAUUGUUUAUGACUAUGCUGGAAUUGAAUGAUUAUGUAGAAACGGAUGGAAGUGUAGAGGUUAGGAUGGUAAGAAUUAAUGGCUUCAUUCCAAAAUUUGCAAGAAUGCAUACAUUCAUCUUCCAGACGAGCACACCCAGCAAGCAAAUAAAUUAGAUAUGUUGCAAGGCUGUGACUGUGAACCUAUUUAAAAUAAUGUCUCAGUUGCAUUUGUAUGUGAGCAGAGUUGCAUGGUUGGAUUUAUUUAGGCUGCUUUGGUCCAACUUGGUAUUGUCAGGUGCAAAUGUAAGCUUGCAUGAAAGUGGAAGUUCUUGAUAGGAUGCAAAAACACAUAAGAGAGGAGAAUGUUGUAAGCGCUGUAGGAUUUUUUUUUAACACAAUAGUUUAAAUUUCGUCAGUCUUUGUUCUUUUUACUAGCUCCAUAGUGGUGAAUAGAAAUUGUGGCUGGGGAUCUCCAUGCUAAGCUGCAAAAUGUUAUCAUUAUUAUAAGCAUUUUUUUAAUUAAACAGAUGCAAUGGGUGAGUGCAGGGUUGCUCUCCAUCUCUCUGAAAUUCAACUUUGUUCUACAUUAUCAUGUUCUUUGUUUGUUUUGUUUUUGCACAUGGUGAUUCUAUGCAAAAAGUUUGAAGGGCACCUCACCAGCAAAUUGCCCGGAGACUAUCACGUGCACCUCACCCUAGAUUAAACAGACAUGUAAGAGCAAGUGGCACAUUGAUAGGACGCAUGGUUAGAGAAUUAGAGACAAAGAUGUGAGAAAAAGGCGAAAACGGCCCGUUUGGGGGGGC
Molecule: non-coding RNA, 1214 nt
Organism: Camellia sinensis
Lineage: Eukaryota; Viridiplantae; Streptophyta; Magnoliopsida; Ericales; Theaceae
Source: RefSeq, a predicted model, not a curated record